RNAcentral lists this ribosomal RNA (490 nucleotides) under uncultured bacterium. RNAcentral's name for it is "partial 16S ribosomal RNA". It matches the Rfam family "Bacterial small subunit ribosomal RNA", at positions 30 to 507 of the family's 1533-position model. The record is from RNAcentral.
AUUGAACGCUGGCGGCAGGCCUAACACAUGCAAGUCGAACGGUAACAGGAAGACGCUUGCUUCUUUGCUGCCGAGUGGCGGACGGGUGAGUCAUGUCUGGGAAACUGCCUGAUGGAGGGGGAUAACUACUGGAAACGGUAGCUAAUACCGCAUAACGUCGCAAGCCCAAAGAGGGGGACCUUCUGGCCUCUUGCCAUCGGAUGUGCCCAGAUGGGAUUAGCUAGUAGGUGGGGUAACGGCUCACCUAGGCGACGAUCCCUCGCUGGUCUGAGAGGAUGACCAGCCACACUGGAACUGAGACAAGGUCCAGACUCCUAAGGGAGGCAGCAGUGGGGAAUAUUACACAAUGGGCGCAAGCCUGAUGCAGCCAUGCCGCGUGUAUGAAGAAGGCCUUCGGGUUGUAAAGUACUUUCAGCGGGGAGGAAGGGAGUAAAGUUAAUACCUUUGCUCAUUGACGUUACCCGCAGAAGAAGCACCGGCUAACUCCGUG